Molecule: long non-coding RNA, 713 nt
Filed under: Bos taurus (domestic cattle)
Lineage: Eukaryota; Metazoa; Chordata; Mammalia; Artiodactyla; Bovidae
Description: long non-coding RNA NONBTAT023855
Source: RNAcentral
UUUCAAAGAAAGCCUACAUUUUUUCACUUUUAUUCUGAGUGAAGUUGUUUUUAAUCCCUGCAACUUUUUUUUUUCUUUUUAAUUGUAAGUAAGUCUUUCAAAAAUUCAAGUCAGGUUUUUCAAAAACUUUUAUGAAGCUCAAGGAUUGAACACAAGCUUGUUGUCAUUUCCCUCCUUCUGAAUCUUUUUAAGAGGACACCUAAGUAACUGCUCUAAUACUUCUUGAAGGUGGAGUAUCAAGAUCCAAUUCUCAACAAGUGAAAAUUUAGCCUUAAAGCUAAAUGUUCUUUUCCUCCAUUGUAUCUGUUUAUAUGCGUCUUUUUGAAGAAAAAGAUCCUUAUUUGAUACAGCUACAGCUUCUAAAGAACCAACAUAUGUAAGAACUUCUUAGAAGAAAACUGAAGUCACAAGAAAAACCAAAAAUCACAAAAUUCUGAAGAAGAGACAUUGAAGGUUUAAGACUGACUGUAGUUUUUGUGCAGAGUGCUUAUGUGUUAUUGUGCCAGUAUUGCAAGUUUUAUAUAGGAGAAAUAUUUGCUUAUUGAAGCUUUAAAAAAAAAAAAGCCUUUGUUAAGUUUAACAGUUUCCUUAACUUUCGUGUUUUUUCCAUCUUAACACAUAUCAUGGACUUAACCCCUCCCCUUCAUCUUUAGUUCAAGGAACAUGGUGAAACAAGUAUCUUCUGACAGUGCUUUACCUUAUUUUCUGGGCCU